UCAUCGUCAUCGAAAGCCGGUGGUUGGCC
Molecule: non-coding RNA, 29 nt
Filed under: Bombyx mori (domestic silkworm)
Lineage: Eukaryota; Metazoa; Arthropoda; Insecta; Lepidoptera; Bombycidae
Source: RNAcentral